Molecule: ribosomal RNA, 397 nt
Filed under: uncultured bacterium
Lineage: Bacteria
Description: partial 16S ribosomal RNA
Rfam family: Bacterial small subunit ribosomal RNA
Source: RNAcentral
AUACGUAGGGGGCGAGCGUUGUCCGGAAUGAUUGGGCGUAAAGGGCGCGUAGGCGGCGCGGUAAGUCUGGAGUGAAAGUCCUGCUUUCGAGGUGGGAAUUGCUUUGGAUACUGCCGCGCUUGAGUGCAGGAGAGGUUAUCGGAAUUCCCGGUGGAGCGGUGAAAUGCAUAGAGAUCGGGAGGAACACCAGUGGCGAAGGCGGGUAACUGGGCUGCAACUGACGCUGAGGCGCGAAAGUGUGGGGAGCAAACAGGAUUAGAUACCCUGGUAGUCCACACUGUAAACGAUGAAUGCUAGGUGUAAGAGGUAUCGACCCCUUUUGUGCCGGAGUCAACACAAUAAGCAUUCCGCCUGGGGAGUACGGCCGCAAGGUUGAAACUCAAAGGAAUUGACGGGG